CGGUACUCAGGCCCUAAUGAUAAACGGAGCAGAUCCAGUAGAGCCUCGCACCAUCGGUACUCAGGCCCUAAUGAUAAACGGAGCAGAUCCAGUAGGGCCUCGCACCAUCGGUACUCAGGCCCUAAUGGUAAACGGAGCAGAUCCAGUAGGGCCUCGCACCAUCGUUACUCGGGCCCUAAUAAUAAGACUAAUCCUAAAGAAAACAAUAGGGCUUUCGCACUUUCAGUGCUUGGGCCCUAAAAACACAACCAAUCUAUUAGCAAAGAAAAUCUCAGAAAACUGUUUUUUCUACAACCAUCAGAGGGAGACAUUUGAUCAUUAUUGUGUCCUCUGCCGCACGGGAUUGUGAGAAGCAGAUGUGCUCUGUAAGUGCAAGUCUGUCGAGGUCAUACGGUACCGUAGAGAGAAAGAGAAACGAUUAUCUUCGGUCUAACGGACUCGGGAUUAUUCAUAAGAAUUCAGCAUUCUCAGUAAACAGCAGUGAGAUUGCAUCCAUUAACAAAUUAAAACCAAGUACAAAACACGACAGGCACUUGCAUCUGGGAUUUUUCUUCUUCCUGUGGAUAGGGUUAAACCAGUACUGUUCCAUCUCAGUGUCACUGAUUAAAUGUAUAGAGAACAAAUUACUCGAUGCUUUUUCAAAACUCGAAGAAAUCCAGCCCGUCCCUCCGGCGUUCUCUCCAAAUCCACACCUCAAAACAUUCGUACUCACUUUCCGAACUGACAGGCAAGGAAAUGUCUCGUUUUCCUAAAUGGUUAGAUGUUUGUGGUCCACAUCAUGAGUUUUCAGAGCCCGAGACGUCACACAGAGCGAGGUUUCUCC
Molecule: long non-coding RNA, 823 nt
Organism: Ictalurus punctatus (channel catfish)
Lineage: Eukaryota; Metazoa; Chordata; Actinopteri; Siluriformes; Ictaluridae
Source: Ensembl